Monopterus albus (swamp eel) is the source of this 79-nucleotide small nucleolar RNA. NCBI's taxonomy places the organism in Eukaryota, Metazoa, Chordata, Actinopteri, Synbranchiformes, Synbranchidae. The record is from Ensembl.
CUGAUGCAGUGAUGAUUGCAUAGUUCAGCAGAUAACUGUGACGAACAAAGAUGUCUUUCGCUCCUAACUGAUGCGUCAG